UUAAAAAUUCAUGCCAUCGAGUUGAUCUUCUCUUAGCAUUCACUUCUUUGUAGGUCUUUGAAAAACUUUUGAAGUGAAACACAUCGUAACAAUGAGCAUGAGGCCCAUGGUAGCUUUCGUCACCUUGUUGGUCGUAUGUGCUACAUUAGAAAAGGACAAAAAUCAUGGGCUCAACAGCUCGGCCUUGAAGGACGUCAUCCAAUCAGUUCGAGAGAGCCGUUCAUGUGGUGACAGGUUUCCCUUCCAAGCCUGUAGCAUAACUCGGCGUGUGCGUGCUCACUGCAAAAAGCUGUACUACAAAAUUGGCUGCAAACGAAUGUGCGGAUUCUGUUGAUGAUAUUGAACUGGCGAGACUGGUGUGAGCCAAGAUGACAAGCCGGAGUGUCCUUUAUGAAGCGAUUAUUUCAUUCGUACACAAUGUAUCUGUUAAAACAUUCUUCAAGGGCAAUAAAAAUUUGAAAAGUGAA
This is a long non-coding RNA of Stylophora pistillata, 467 nucleotides long. The record is from RefSeq and is a predicted model, not a curated record. NCBI's taxonomy places the organism in Eukaryota, Metazoa, Cnidaria, Anthozoa, Scleractinia, Pocilloporidae.